GAUGAACGCUAGCGAUAGGCUUAACACAUGCAAGUCGAGGGGCAGCACAAGGUAGCUUGCUAUCUGGGUGGCGACCGGCGCACGGGUGCGUAACGCGUAUGCAACUUGCCCUAUACAGGAGGAUAACCCGUCGAAAGACGGACUAAUACUGCGUAUGCUCACAACUUGGCAUCAAGUGGUGAGGAAAGAAAUUCGGUAUAGGAUAGGCAUGCGUCCCAUUAGCUUGUUGGUGAGGUAACGGCUCACCAAGGCAACGAUGGGUAGGGGAACUGAGAGGUUUAUCCCCCGCACUGGUACUAAGGCACGGACCAGACUCCUACGGAAGGCAGCAGUAAGGAAUAUUAGGCAAGGAGCGCGGGCCUGAACCAGCCAAGUCGCGUGAAGGAUGACUGUGUUAUGGAUUGUAAACUUCUUUUAUACGAGAAUAACAAGAGUAACGAGUGACUCCCUGAAGGUACCGUAUGAAUAAGCAACGGCUAACUCCGUG
RNAcentral lists this ribosomal RNA (487 nucleotides) under uncultured bacterium. RNAcentral's name for it is "partial 16S ribosomal RNA". It matches the Rfam family "Bacterial small subunit ribosomal RNA", at positions 28 to 507 of the family's 1533-position model. The record is from RNAcentral.